AACGUAGGAGACAAACGUUAUCCGGAGUUACUGGGCGUAAAGGGCGUGUAGGCGGUUAGUUAAGUCUGGCGUGAAAGCUCUCGGCUAAACCGGGAGAGGUCGUUGGAUACUGGCUGACUAGAGGACGGUAGAGGCGUGUGGAAUUCCGGGUGUAGUGGUGAAAUGCGUAGAUAUCCGGAGGAACACCGGUGGCGAAGGCGGCUUCCUGGACCGACACUGACGCUGAGGCGCGAAAGCUAGGGGAGCAAACGGG
RNAcentral lists this ribosomal RNA (253 nucleotides) under uncultured bacterium. Its description in RNAcentral is "partial 16S ribosomal RNA". It matches the Rfam family "Bacterial small subunit ribosomal RNA", at positions 524 to 776 of the family's 1533-position model. The record is from RNAcentral.